UACGAAGGGUGCAAGCGUUACUCGGAAUUACUGGGCGUAAAGCGUGCGUAGGUGGUGAGUUAAGUCUGUCGUGAAAGCCCGGGGCUCAACCCCGGAACGGCUUUCGAAACUGCCAAGCUAGAGUACGGAAGGGGCAACUGGAAUUCCCAGUGUAGCGGUGAAAUGCGUAGAUAUUGGGAAGAACACCGGAGGCGAAGGCGGGUUGCUGGGCCGAUACUGACGCUGAGGAGCGAAAGCAUGGGGAGCGAACAGG
RNAcentral lists this ribosomal RNA (253 nucleotides) under uncultured bacterium. RNAcentral describes it as "partial 16S ribosomal RNA". It matches the Rfam family "Bacterial small subunit ribosomal RNA", at positions 524 to 776 of the family's 1533-position model. The record is from RNAcentral.